AGGAGGAACAGCCCCAGUGGCGGGGCCAGCCCUGGAGCCCUGGAUUCAGCCCCCGCAGGAACUCCGGAGCUCUCCGUCUGCAGGGCCUGGAGGCUCCGGGGCGGG
Molecule: microRNA precursor, 105 nt
Filed under: Canis lupus dingo (dingo)
Lineage: Eukaryota; Metazoa; Chordata; Mammalia; Carnivora; Canidae
Description: mir-8834 microRNA precursor family
Rfam family: mir-8834 microRNA precursor family
Source: Rfam by way of RNAcentral